Molecule: ribosomal RNA, 194 nt
Filed under: uncultured bacterium
Lineage: Bacteria
Description: partial 16S ribosomal RNA
Rfam family: Bacterial small subunit ribosomal RNA
Source: RNAcentral
CCUACGGGAGGCAGCAGUGGGGAAUAUUGCACAAUGGGCGCAAGCCUGAUGCAGCCAUGCCGCGUGUAUGAAGAAGGCCUUCGGGUUGUAAAGCACUUUAAGUUGGGAGGAAGGGCAGUAAGUUAAUACCUUGCUGUUUUGACGUUACCGACAGAAUAAGCACCGGCUAACUCUGUGCCAGCAGCCGCGGUAAU